GUUUUAAGAGUAAAUGAAUGAAAACUCGUUUGAAGGAAUUUCUUGGGUUUGUUUUUACUUAGAGUUUUGUAAGACUAUUCUGAAGAUAUUUUACCUAUAAAUUUCUGAUUACUUUUUUCGUGAUUUAAGAAAAAUAUUAACUGUGUGAUUAAAUUCAAGGAACUGGUUAAGUGAAAUUCUAACAGUCUUGUUUAUUUGUUUAAAUGUUCUUUUUAAUCUGUUGGAGAAGGACCUUUCACAUAGAAUCGGAAAUAGAUUUAAAGGUGAUUUUUUUUAACUAAUAUUUGAAUCAUUUUACUUUUUUGCACCUUGUUUGUAAUUUUCAAGAAUAAGUUUUUAAUACUUCAGUGCUCUUGGAAUUUCCAUUACUGAUUGCAAAAAAAAGGAAGGGAAACUGUUAAGACAUGCAGUACCAUGCUUUGUGUAUGCCUAACUCAGAAAAUACUUUUCAUUUGUUUUAAGUUUGAACUAGGUUUUAUUACUACUAUUUCACAAAAUAAUUAAGUUUUGAAAAGCUUUAAGUUAUUAACAGAAGGACAUUUAUGUAGGCAGUACAAACGCGGUAUUUAAACCUUAGUUUGUCUGAAUCAAAAGUUGAUGCUCUUGUGACAUUAGGCUUCCUUAACAAUUGACGAUAGAAUCUGGACUUAUAAGUUUGUUUUUAGUUUGACAGCUUAAUUUGAGAAAGGAGAAACAGUAGUUCUGUUUGGCUUUAAUAGAAAUUGUAAAUAACUAAAUGUUAAAUAGUGUUGGGUUUUAAUUUGUGUUUUGAUCAUUUUAGAACAAAGUUUAUUUUUCUUUGACACAUUUAAAAGUUUUAUGCCGCUGGUAUAGUUUCAUAUAUACAUUGUGGUAGGAAGCAUUUUAGAAAUUAAUCUAGAAUAGUAUCUUUGCUUUCUCAAUCAUGUACGGUUUCUUGAGGAUACUAUGAAAUUAAUAACUUUUUCUCCUUUGGCCACUAGGUUAAUAGGGAAGAAAAUUAUUUGAAGAAGGACAGUGAAGUUCUUUAAAGUUAUUUUCUGUGGUGUGUCCUAUAGACCUUUUUACAUAGUUACAGAAGCCCUAGGCCAGAUCAGUUCCAUGUUUCCAUUCCUUGGUCAGCUGCAUUGUACAGAAAAGCAUUCUUUGUGAUUGAAAUUAUGUGAAAUUGUGGCAUAAGUCUCAAAUGAAAAGAAUUACUUCCAAACUGCUCUCUAAAUGAGAAAUCCUGAAAGUCACUCCAGGUUUUCGAAGACACCUUAGUUAUUGACUCGAAAGGGUCUGCGGCCCCUAACCUCUCCCACCUUCCCCCAGUGAGUAGAGUGAUCCACUCUGGUAGCUUCAACUUUUGUAACUUUGUAGAUGUGUCCCAGGUACAUAGCUCAGCCCUGCUUCUCUGCUUAGUACUGGUCACACAUUUUUAUCUGCUGGUCGUCCUCAGAGUAGAGAUGCUCACAGUUAAGGAGAUGCUCAGAUGGAACCUGUCUGAAAAUAAAUUUAUUAACCCCGCCCCCUUACCCAAAGCAGGGCCCAUACCCAUCUCUUCCUGCUCAUUUUUCUCUCUAUGACUGUUCUCAUUAUUCAAGUCCCAGGUUUUUAACUUCAGGUUUACUUUAACUGUUUUCCUCUUUGUGCUCUCUGAACCUAACAAUCAGUUUCCAAACCUCAUCUUUUUCAUCAGAAUAUGUUCUAUUCUAAUUAUUUCUUGCUUGAAAAAAUUAAUUCACUUAUAUUAAUAUUUUAUUUACAACCCCUCAGUUGACCAGACCAUUAACAAUUUAUGAAUUACUGUUGUUUAGUAACAAAUUUUUGUUGUAUGAACAAAAUGCAAAUUGAUUGUUCUGUGACUACACAGCUGAAGAAAUAAAUCUAAGAGAAGAAAAAGAGUUAGAAGAAUGUCUCAUGUCUGUUUUAUUUGCCACUGGUGGACUUUUAUUAUAAAUUUUCUAGACAGAUCCCUCUGUCUUCCUGCCAUUUUUCUACUCCCCAACUUUUAGUUGCUGGAUUCCUCCAUUGCUUUUACAAGGAGGCCCAACUCUUGAAAAUGGUGUUCGUGCCCUUGUAUUCCAUUCUAACCUAAAUAGUUCUGACAUUUCCAAUAUAUACUGUUAUUUAAUCAUGCUGUGACUUCAAAGAGACCCGCAUGUUAAUCCCCUUGUAGCACCUUGAGUAAAUUAUUUCAUUGCAUAGUAACCUCUGUUUCCUCUAAAAUGUGGGAAUAUAAUAGAAGGUAUAUUCUCCAUUAACAUUCUGUAAGUGUGACUGUUGCCCGGCGGGUAAACACAAUACAUUUCACUUCUUUUUCUCUGCUCCUGACUUACCUGCUUUGAGAAUUGGUACUGCUCCCCAGUUUCUCCCCUUUUUUGAAAAAUGACAUUACUCAUCCUUCAAGAUUUAGCUCAGCUCAUUUGAUUAGUUUUCUUUCUCCUGAAAGCUGUUUUCUCUUUAUUCUGAACCCUGUAACAUGUCAUUAGUAUUAAAUAUAGUCUUGCAUAGUUAUUUGUUGACUUGGUUUUUUUCCUUAUAUUCUACUGGAAUUCCUUAGUGCAGAAAUAAUGCCAUCUUUAGCAUCUGUAUAAUAUAUGUGAUGAGUACAGGGGUUCAGUGAGUGAAUGAACAAAGGAGUCACGAAUUCACAGAAUUAAGGAAAAAAACAUUAUUAUGAAAAGUAGCAGCAUAUAAAGGCAGGGGUUAGAGGGAAAAUCUAGUAUGCCCCCAUUUUUCACUUCUAAAUAAUGUUAUAGAUUGUAAAGAUUAAGAUAGUUAAAUUCCGGGUGCUCUUUGAGGUGCAGGUGGUGAUAUUGGCUACAGUUCAAAUCACUUACACAUGCUAAGUAUUAAUAUGCAGUUUACAUACUUCUCCCUCAUACACAAUCAUAAUCAAUCAUAAUUUGGCUUCAGAAGUUUUGUUUGUGUGUAAAAACAAGGUGAGCUGCCAGUAUAUCUCACCAUGCUGGACUCAGUCUAUCAGUCGUCUCUGACUCUUUGCGACCCCAUGGACUGUAGCCUGCCAGGCUGCUCUGCCCAUGGAAUUCUCCAGGCAAGAAUACUGGAGUGGGUUGCCAUGCGCUUCUCCAGGGAAUCUUCCCCACCCAGGGGUCCAACCUGCGUCUCCUAUGUUGCAAGUGAAUUCUUUACUGCUGAUCCCCCGGGGAAGCCCCAUAUUUCGUCGUAAUUCAUGUAAAGUCAGUAUUGUUCUUAUUAACUAAAAAAUAAAUCAACCAAUAAGCUAUUAAUGUAGAAAUUAUGCAUUCCUAAUUCCGUUCUGUAGGUGAAUGAAUCCUGUUAUUGCACCAAUAAAAUGUAAAAAUUCCUACAGCAAGCAGAAACUUGAUAGUAGCUGUAACAUUUGUGGAGUUUUUCAGACUUUGCACACUGAAGCAAAUUUGUAGUACUUCUCUGUACAUCGAGGAAUCAUUCCUACAUAAAUGUAGAGGUAGGAGAGUCAUAUACAUAGAGCGUAGUCACAUAAGAGUAGUCAUAUACAUAGAGCCUUGCGUUUUAUAAGGAUUUUUUAAAAAAUUUUAAUGUUAUUUAUUUACUUUUUGGCUGCACUGUGUGGCAUACAGGAUCUUACUUCCUCAACCAAGGAUCGAAUCCAAGCCCCUUGCAGUGGAAGCAUGGGAUUUUAACAACUGGACCACUAGGGAAGUCCUGAGCAUUGAGUUUUAGUGUAAGAACACAGUACAUAAAAAUCUUGGAGACUACCGAGUAGAUUUUAAGGUUGAAAAGUAUGAUGGGAAAACUUGACUAGUGGUUCUGUGCUCUGACCUAAAAACUUAAUUGCCUGAAGCAGUAAUUUAUUGCAAGAGACUCAUAUAUAUAUCAAAGAAAAUAGGGGUUUCAUAAAACCACAUAGUUGUCAAAAAAAGAAUUUCAUAAAUUUUAUUUUGAAGGAUAGAGCUACAGUUUUCAUAUACCUUCUUUUAAGACACAUGUUCUACUGUGAACCAUGGAUGAAAACUUUUCUUGCUCGUUUUAUUUCAGAUGUUGUACAGUGUUUCUACUGACAGUGAGUGGAAAUAAUUUUUGUAAACUAUCUUCAUGUUCAUUCAUUUAUCAAAUAUAGUAAUACCAUAUUUCAUUGGUUUCACAACUCAUCAUUUUCCAUAUUUUAAAAUCUCUGAAAUCAGGCUGCAUUGUACAAUCGUGGCUUGUGAGACUGGUAGCAUUUUUCCUUUUUUAGUGAUCCAUGAAAUUAUGCAUCUUACAUUGAUUGUGAAUCAGUGAAGCAAGGAUAUAAUGCUAUAAGAAACACACUGAAAUCUAAACAUGAAGGCAUUGGUGGUGGAGGCUUUGCAUGGCCUCACUCAUUCUUUGUAUAUCUAGUGUGGGUCAGUAGCAGAAGAGCCGUGAUCAGUGAAGUCAUAUAGUUUCAGGCUCUUGGAGAAUUUCGAUCUAAAUGUAGGCUUUCUGAUAUGGUUCCUACACACAAUGGAAUAUUAUUUAGCCAUGAGACAGGAUAGGAUUUAGCCUAUCAUCUGUGACAACAGGGAUGGACCUUGAGCACCUUGUGCUAAGUGAAAUAAGUGUAGAUAAAGACAAGUACUGAACAUUAUCACUUAUACGUGGAAUCUAAAA
This is a long non-coding RNA of Cervus elaphus (red deer), 4560 nucleotides long. RefSeq lists it as uncharacterized. The record is from RefSeq and is a predicted model, not a curated record. NCBI's taxonomy places the organism in Eukaryota, Metazoa, Chordata, Mammalia, Artiodactyla, Cervidae. The transcript has 2 exons.